UUCUUUUGGUCACAAUACCCCAGUGACCAGGACCAGCAGGCUCAGACCAGGACUUCUUGUGCCAUUUGCAAACAACACACAAAGCUCAGCUUCUCCCAGAGCUGCAGGCGCUCUCUUGCUGCCCUUUUGUGAAAUUAGGGUUUAAUUCUCUGGAAUAAGUCUGCUAAUAAGGACUCCCAACACACCCAUCCUCUGGACAGAGUGUACCCGCUCAUGGCUCCCACAGGAGCUGUGACAGGAGGGGGACAGGGAAGGGGGGGGAGAGAAGAAAAUAAAUAUGCCUCACAGAGCACAAAAUGCAAGAGAAAUCUAAUACCCCUUCGCAGAGUAGUGAGAGUUCACUGGAAAAGAGGUAUUGGUUGCACUGGCUGCACUCGGCAAGCACUGAUUUCGGCUGGAGGGCCUCCUGUCCUCUCCCUGCUCGUCAUAUCACGUUCCACACUCUGUGUUAAGCCACCCCUGGGAACAUUUCCCACGGCACUGAGGACACGCAUGUUUGCGAUGCUGCUGCCGUCUGGGCGGCCAACAAUAGAGAGGGACAAUGUGAUCUUUAUGUAACGCGGCAGCCGCGCGCUGUUCCCCCCUGCUCGGGGAUGAGAUGUUCAACCCGUGAGGUACAACAAGUAACAACAACCUGAAGGGUUAAAUACAGCCACCGAACCCCUCAGCCUUGCUGGGGUUGGUGCUGGGGUUCCUCCGGGUGUGGGUGGGUGUAACCACGUGCCCUGUUGUAGCUGUUCAGUGCAAGAAACGUAACCCAAAAGCCAGGUGAACAGUCAUCUUCAGACCCUGUGAUCUACAGCCCAGGGGAGCUCCUUCUCCCUUCUGCAGCCUCAAAGCCCAAUCCAGGGAUGCAGACACAAGCCCUGCAUCCAGUGCUCAAACCCUCUCACGGUCCUUUGCUCCACAAAUUUCUACCAGAGUCCUUACACAGAGGUGGAUGAAGGAGGCUGAGCAAGUCCUUUCAGCUAUGAUCCUCUCGCAUCUGCAGCAGGUACCAAAGCUUAAUGGCUACAGGAAGAAAAGCAAUGUUCCUGGUUUGGGCAAUGCACUCACUUUGGCUUCUGAGAACAUCAAUCUCUGGAAAAUGAUUGUACAACAAAAUCUCGAAAUGAAACGAAUUCAUUGCUGCUCUCCAGCCUUGGGAAUGAAAUGAAUUCCUGUGAGACACACGGGUGUCUCGAGGGGGUGACCGGAGGUGACGGGAGGAGCGAGCUCUGGGGCGGCAGCUGAAGAUGAGCCAUUUCUAAAUCGGUCCCUGACGCCAGACCUAAAUUUUUAAGAGGCUCAAAUCAGGAAAAGAUUGCUGAUGGAUGCACUUCCCACUUAAAACUCACUUGCGUGGUGAUGGACGUCAGACUAGUGGCCUCAUGGCUAUGCCUGGUUGCUAUUGAGAGUGACAGAAACCUUCCAGCUUUCUGGAAAGUCCCCUCGUGAAAAGGCUCAGCCAGCUUUUAAAGCCUCCUGCGUGCAGGUUAUCUGCCUCUCCUGACUUGAAAAUAUUUGUCCCUGAGGAGCUGUUAUUUAAUACCUUCCUUAGUUACCAAGGGAUGGGAAGCUUCUCCCAUGGUUCUGUGGCUUUCCAAACACAGAUGGGAUUUAUUGAAGUUCCUGCUGCUCUGGCCUCAUUAACGUUUUAUGGCACAGCUCCAGAGAUGUGCCUGCUCCUUGCUGGGUGCCCCUCUACAGCCCCACAGUACCUCAAGUCUCCCAGCUGCACGGAACAUCCUUGGGGAGUUUGAAGUGAUUUCAUUCCCAAAACAGCUCCACUGCUGCCUUUUGGGACCUCACCUGUGUUCCUGCCUCAUGCAGGACCACAGCUCCCAGCAGCUCCUUUCAUAACAGCCACGGUGGGUGGGAAAGCAGAGACAGCAUGAGGAGGAGAGGGAGAAAAAAAAAGGGAAAAACCAGAGAAUAGUGCAGGAACACAUCCAAGCUGUGCUGUGGCAAACAUAACCUGGGGGCUGCCCAGGCAAGGAUGGGAUUUUAACAUAUACAGAGGACAUGGAAGCAGAAGAAGGGGUGCAAGCCCUGAGUUUGGUGGGGAAAUGCAGUGGGCAGCCCUGGGGAGACACUCGUGGUAGCCUCCUACACAUGCCCACAGGGAGGAGGGUGGGAACUGGGAGUCCCGAGGCCUUUUUGGAAUGGCUUUUCUCCCCUGUGGAGAACAGGAGGGAGCAUCAGCACAAUCCAGCUGGAGUCUGCAAAUUGCCCCACUUAGGCUCUGGUCCUUGAAAUUGCUCUCUUAGCCAAAGUAUAUCCAUUGACCUGACAAGCAUCAGGUUUUUCUCUGGAGCCACACUCCCCCACAGCCUCCAGAGUUCGUGCUUCAUCCCCAGACUUUGCAGGUUUAGUCCCAGAGAAACAUGCCUGGUGCUUACUAGGCCACCUUGCUGUGCUGGAGGCCUUGAUAUGCACCUCUCCAUGGAGCCAGGGUUUCCUCACCACAUAUUUAUUCAGAGGCACUGCAUAGCAAGGACAACACGGCGCCAAACUUUGGAAGAGGCAGACCUGGCUGGAGUUCAGCAGAAACAGGGAAUUAAGACACUGAACUAAACCAAUCCAUCCCCACCCAAUUUCUAUCCAAAUCAGGAAUUUCAUGCACAGAAGGGAUUUUGAGCAUGGUCCCACAUUACUUAUUGAGCAGAGAGAGCAGAGAGUGCUUGGCGCUGUGCAGAAAUCCAGUCUUUGCACUUAAGCUCUUGGAAACCCAGAGUAAUUCAGAUGCAGAAAAGAUCUCAGCUGCUGGGAAGGAACCCAAAUAGCCAGAGAAAGAGGGAGCCUGUGCAGGGAUGUAGGGAAAGAAAGAGCUGCUGGCUGGGUGCAGGCAGGGGACACUGAUCACAUGGAAAAAAGGAUGAGGAGGAGGUAAAGGAAGCAGGUCAGAGAAAAUCAGGGAUGUCUGGGGCCACUCUUGCUGAAAUGUACCCAACACUGGGGGCUUGUUUAGGGCUGCAGUACCCACAGAUCCCCUGCAAGAGCCUUCCAGAAGUGCCUGAUGUGAGUCACACACUGUGACUGAAAACUCGAGGGAGGUGCUCCGGUGCUCGGGCAGAGCACAGAGGUGUGGAGGUCCAGGGACUGUGAGAUCCAUCCGGCCUGGUACAGCAGGGGACACACGGAACGCCACGCUCACCUCCCCGGAGCUUCCCCCAACACCCAGCUCGGGCUGCUCACUCAAACCCACGCCGAGAUGCCUCCUGCUCCCAGACCCAGCCUUGCACGUCUGGCUUGGAGUGCCACCUGCUGCCAACGGCACCGCUCUCCAGUCACCGGGAGGGGACAACAGCAACGCGGAGCAACGAACUUCCUGCUGUUACAUCAGCUUUCCCUGUCCUUUAACAGCAGCCAAACUCCUGAGCCAAAAAGCAACGCUAUUUCCCAAGCUGCAGGCGUCCCACGAGUCGCAGGCGUAGCAGCAGAUGCUAAUAAAGUACUUUUUUCUUUCUC
Molecule: long non-coding RNA, 3450 nt
Organism: Pseudopipra pipra
Lineage: Eukaryota; Metazoa; Chordata; Aves; Passeriformes; Pipridae
Exons: 2
Source: RefSeq, a predicted model, not a curated record